AACGCACAUUGCGCCUUCUGGCAUUCCGGAAGGCAUGCUUGUUUGAGUAUCAGUAACAACCUCAGCUUCUCCCUCUUUACGGAAGGGAAAAGCUGGAUUUGAGCAUGUCCCCCUCCCCUCUAAUCAAAUUUGAUUUGGGUGGGGAGGAGGAUGCUUGAAAUACAGGUUCGACCAGACGGUUAGGGGGUUUUUUCCCUCAUCCCUGGGCUACAAGCAUUUCAUACUUAAUCCCGUCAAACGGAUUAUAUCUUUUGCUGCAGCCAACACACACAAAAGGGGGUGAUCGUCAGUGCUCGACUGAUGCAGGAAGUUGGACCCAGAUCUUGAUCAAUAUGAUUGUGAUCUGGCUCUGCUAACUCGAUCUCAAAUCAAGUAAGACUACCCGCUGAACUUAA
This 395-nucleotide ribosomal RNA is filed under the name uncultured fungus. Its description in RNAcentral is "eukaryotic LSU rRNA". The record is from RNAcentral. Lineage: Eukaryota; Fungi.